Molecule: ribosomal RNA, 467 nt
Filed under: uncultured bacterium
Lineage: Bacteria
Description: partial 16S ribosomal RNA
Rfam family: Bacterial small subunit ribosomal RNA
Source: RNAcentral
ACGAACGCUGGCGGCGUGCUUAACACAUGCAAGUCGAACGGAAAGGCCCUGCUUUUGUGGGGUUCUCGAGUGGCGAACGGGUGAGUAACACGUGAGUAACCUGCCCUUGACUUUGGGUUAACUUCAGGAAACUGGGGCUAAUACCGGAUAGGAGCUCCUGCUGCAUGGUGGGGGUUGGAAAGUUUCGGCGUUUGGGGAUGGACUCGCGGCUUAUCAGCUUGUUGGUGGGGUAGUUGCUUACCAAGGCUUUGACGGGUAGCCGGCAUGCGAGGGUGAACGGGAACAUUGGGACUGAGAUACGGACCAGAAUCCAACGGGAGGCAGCAGUGGGGAAUAUUGCACAAUGGGAGGAAGCCUGAUGCAGCAACGCCGGGUGCGGGAUGACGGCCUUCGGGUUGUAAAACGAUUUCGACUGUGACGAAGAGUGAGUGACGGUAAUGGGUAAAGAAGCAACGGCUAACUACGUG